This 468-nucleotide ribosomal RNA is filed under the name uncultured bacterium. RNAcentral describes it as "partial 16S ribosomal RNA". It matches the Rfam family "Bacterial small subunit ribosomal RNA", at positions 28 to 507 of the family's 1533-position model. The record is from RNAcentral.
GACGAACGCUGGCGGCGUGCUUAACACAUGCAAGUCGAACGGAAAGGCCCUGCUUUUGUUGUUUGCUCGAGUGGCGAACGGGUGAGUAACACGUGAGUAACCUGCCCUUGACUUUGGGAUAACUUCAGGAAACUGGGGCUAAUACCGGAUAGGAGCUCCUGCUGCAUGUUGGGGGUUGGAAAGUUUCGGCGGUUGGGGCUGGACUCGCGGCUUAUCAGCUUGUUGGUGGGGUAGUGGCUUACCAAGGCUUUGACGGGUAGCCGGCCUGAGAGGGUGACCGGCGACAUUGGGACUGAGAUACGGCCCAGAAUCCUACGGGAGGCAGCAGUGGGGAAUAUUGCACAAUGGGCGGAAGCCUGAUGCAGAAAUGCCGCGUGCGGGAUGACGGCCUUCGGGGUGUAAACCGAUUUCGCCUGUGACGAAGAGUGAGUGACGGUAAUGGGUAAAGAAGCACCGGCUAACUACGUG